GACAGAGGGUGCAAACGUUGUUCGGAAUUACUGGGCGUAAAGCGUGUGUAGGCGGCUAGGUAAGUCGGAUGUGAAAGUCCCAGGCUCAACCUGGGAAGUGCACUCGAUACUGCUUAGCUCGAGUACUGGAGAGGUUGGUGGAAUUCUCGGUGUAGAGGUGAAAUUCGUAGAUAUCGAGAGGAACACCGGUGGCGAAGGCGGCCAACUGGACAGAUACUGACGCUGAGACACGAAAGCGUGGGGAGCAAACAGG
Molecule: ribosomal RNA, 253 nt
Filed under: uncultured bacterium
Lineage: Bacteria
Description: partial 16S ribosomal RNA
Rfam family: Bacterial small subunit ribosomal RNA
Source: RNAcentral